RNAcentral lists this ribosomal RNA (1976 nucleotides) under Campylobacter coli. Its description in RNAcentral is "partial 23S ribosomal RNA". It matches the Rfam family "Bacterial large subunit ribosomal RNA", at positions 962 to 2925 of the family's 2925-position model. The record is from RNAcentral. Lineage: Bacteria; Pseudomonadati; Campylobacterota; Epsilonproteobacteria; Campylobacterales; Campylobacteraceae.
ACCUUAUAUGUAAUCACAGCAGUCAGGCGGCGAGUGAUAAAAUCCGUCGUCAAGAGGGAAACAACCCAGACUACCAGCUAAGGUCCCUAAAUCUUACUUAAGUGGAAAACGAUGUGAAGUUACUUAAACAACCAGGAGGUUGGCUUAGAAGCAGCCAUCCUUUAAAGAAAGCGUAAUAGCUCACUGGUCUAGUGAUUUUGCGCGGAAAAUAUAACGGGGCUAAAGUAAGUACCGAAGCUGUAGACUUAGUUUACUAAGUGGUAGGAGAGCGUUCUAUUUGCGUCGAAGGUAUACCGGUAAGGAGUGCUGGAGCGAAUAGAAGUGAGCAUGCAGGCAUGAGUAGCGAUAAUUAAUGUGAGAAUCAUUAACGCCGUAAACCCAAGGUUUCCUACGCGAUGCUCGUCAUCGUAGGGUUAGUCGGGUCCUAAGUCGAGUCCGAAAGGGGUAGACGAUGGCAAAUUGGUUAAUAUUCCAAUACCAACAUUAGUGUGCGAUGGAAGGACGCUUAGGGCUAAGGGGGCUAGCGGAUGGAAGUGCUAGUCUAAGGUCGUAGGAGGUUAUACAGGCAAAUCCGUAUAACAAUACUCCGAGAACUGAAAGGCUUUUUGAAGUCUUCGGAUGGAUAGAAGAACCCCUGAUGCCAUCGAGCCAAGAAAAGUUUCUAAGUUUAGCUAAUGUUGCCCGUACCGUAAACCGACACAGGUGGGUGGGAUGAGUAUUCUAAGGCGCGUGGAAGAACUCUCUUUAAGGAACUCUGCAAAAUAGCACCGUAUCUUCGGUAUAAGGUGUGGUUCGCUUCGUAUUAGGAUUUACUCCGAAAGCGAAGAAACUUACAACAAAGAGUCCCUCCCGACUGUUUACCAAAAACACAGCACUCUGCUAACUCGUAAGAGGAUGUAUAGGGUGUGACGCCUGCCCGGUGCUCGAAGGUUAAUUGAUGGGGUUAGCAUUAGCGAAGCUCUUGAUCGAAGCCCGAGUAAACGGCGGCCGUAACUAUAACGGUCCUAAGGUAGCGAAAUUCCUUGUCGGUUAAAUACCGACCUGCAUGAAUGGCGUAACGAGAUGGGAGCUGUCUCAAAGAGGGAUCCAGUGAAAUUGUAGUGGAGGUGAAAAUUCCUCCUACCCGCGGCAAGACGGAAAGACCCCGUGGACCUUUACUACAGCUUGACACUGCUAUUUGGAUAAGAAUGUGCAGGAUAGGUGGGAGGCUUUGAGUAUAUGACGCCAGUUGUAUAUGAGCCAUUGUUGAGAUACCACUCUUUCUUAUUUGGGUAGCUAACCAGCUUGAGUUAUCCUCAAGUGGGACAAUGUCUGGUGGGUAGUUUGACUGGGGCGGUCGCCUCCCAAAUAAUAACGGAGGCUUACAAAGGUUGGCUCAGAACGGUUGGAAAUCGUUCGUAGAGUAUAAAGGUAUAAGCCAGCUUAACUGCAAGACAUACAAGUCAAGCAGAGACGAAAGUCGGUCUUAGUGAUCCGGUGGUUCUGUGUGGAAGGGCCAUCGCUCAAAGGAUAAAAGGUACCCCGGGGAUAACAGGCUGAUCUCCCCCAAGAGCUCACAUCGACGGGGAGGUUUGGCACCUCGAUGUCGGCUCAUCGCAUCCUGGGGCUGGAGCAGGUCCCAAGGGUAUGGCUGUUCGCCAUUUAAAGCGGUACGCGAGCUGGGUUCAGAACGUCGUGAGACAGUUCGGUCCCUAUCUGCCGUGGGCGUAAGAAGAUUGAAGAGAUUUGACCCUAGUACGAGAGGACCGGGUUGAACAAACCACUGGUGUAGCUGUUGUUCUGCCAAGAGCAUCGCAGCGUAGCUAAGUUUGGAAAGGAUAAACGCUGAAAGCAUCUAAGCGUGAAGCCAACUCUAAGAUGAAUCUUCUCUAAGCUCUCUAGAAGACUACUAGUUUGAUAGGCUGGGUGUGUAAUGGAUGAAAGUCCUUUAGCUGACCAGUACUAAUAGAGCGUUUGGCUUAUCUUUAAUAAAGCAU